Molecule: transfer RNA, 66 nt
Filed under: Mitromorpha fischeri
Lineage: Eukaryota; Metazoa; Mollusca; Gastropoda; Neogastropoda; Conidae
Description: tRNA-Asn
Source: RNAcentral
UAGGUGAAAACCAAAAAGAGGUAUCUAACUGUUAAUUAGAAAAAUGUGGAGCAUCCACUCAUCUAG